CGAACGGGUGAGUAACGCGUGGGGAAUCUGCCUUUGAGCGGGGGACAACAUUUGGAAACGAAUGCUAAUACCGCAUAAAAACUUUAAACACAAGUUUUAAGUUUGAAAGAUGCAAUUGCAUCACUCAAAGAUGAUCCCGCGUUGUAUUAGCUAGUUGGUGAGGUAAAGGCUCACCAAGGCGAUGAUGCGUAGCCGACCUGAGAGGGUGACCGGCCACACUGGGACUGAGACACGGCCCAGACUCCUACGGGAGGCAGCAUG
Molecule: ribosomal RNA, 261 nt
Filed under: uncultured bacterium
Lineage: Bacteria
Description: partial 16S ribosomal RNA
Rfam family: Bacterial small subunit ribosomal RNA
Source: RNAcentral